RNAcentral lists this ribosomal RNA (733 nucleotides) under Staphylococcus sp. SMCC G913. Its description in RNAcentral is "bacterial SSU rRNA". It matches the Rfam family "Bacterial small subunit ribosomal RNA", at positions 23 to 738 of the family's 1533-position model. Lineage: Bacteria; Bacillati; Bacillota; Bacilli; Caryophanales; Staphylococcaceae. The record is from RNAcentral.
CUCAGGAUGAACGCUGGCGGCGUGCCUAAUACAUGCAAGUCGAGCGAACAGAUAAGGAGCUUGCUCCUUUGACGUUAGCGGCGGACGGGUGAGUAACACGUGGAUAACCUACCUAUAAGACUGGGAUAACUUCGGGAAACCGGAGCUAAUACCGGAUAACAUAUUGAACCGCAUGGUUCAAUAGUGAAAGGCGGCUUUGCUGUCACUUAUAGAUGGAUCCGCGCCGUAUUAGCUAGUUGGUAAGGUAACGGCUUACCAAGGCAACGAUACGUAGCCGACCUGAGAGGGUGAUCGGCCACACUGGAACUGAGACACGGUCCAGACUCCUACGGGAGGCAGCAGUAGGGAAUCUUCCGCAAUGGGCGAAAGCCUGACGGAGCAACGCCGCGUGAGUGAUGAAGGUCUUCGGAUCGUAAAACUCUGUUAUCAGGGAAGAACAAAUGUGUAAGUAACUGUGCACAUCUUGACGGUACCUGAUCAGAAAGCCACGGCUAACUACGUGCCAGCAGCCGCGGUAAUACGUAGGUGGCAAGCGUUAUCCGGAAUUAUUGGGCGUAAAGCGCGCGUAGGCGGUUUUUUAAGUCUGAUGUGAAAGCCCACGGCUCAACCGUGGAGGGUCAUUGGAAACUGGAAAACUUGAGUGCAGAAGAGGAAAGUGGAAUUCCAUGUGUAGCGGUGAAAUGCGCAGAGAUAUGGAGGAACACCAGUGGCGAAGGCGACUUUCUGGUCUGUA